CCUACGGGCGGCAGCAGUGGGGAAUAUUGGACAAUGGGGGGAACCCUGAUCCAGCCAUGCCGCGUGUGUGAAGAAGGCCCUCGGGUUGUAAAGCACUUUCAGUGAGGAAGAACGCCUGGUGGUUAAUACCCAUCAGGAAAGACAUCACUCACAGAAGAAGCACCGGCUAACUCCGUGCACAGCAGCCGCGGUAAUACGGAGGGUGCGAGCGUUAAUCGGAAUUACUGGGCGUAAAGCGCGCGUAGGUGGCUUGAUAAGCCGGUUGUGAAAGCCCCGGGCUCAACCUGGGAACGGCAUCCGGAACUGUCAAGCUAGAGUGCAGGAGAGGAAGGUAGAAUUCCCGGUGUAGCGGUGAAAUGCGUAGAGAUCGGGAGGAAUACCAGUGGCGAAGGCGGCCUUCUGGACUGACACUGACACUGAGGUGCGAAAGCGUGGGUAGCAAACAGGAUUAGAUACCCCUGUAGUC
This 466-nucleotide ribosomal RNA is filed under the name Vreelandella stevensii. RNAcentral's name for it is "partial 16S ribosomal RNA". It matches the Rfam family "Bacterial small subunit ribosomal RNA", at positions 338 to 795 of the family's 1533-position model. The record is from RNAcentral. Lineage: Bacteria; Pseudomonadati; Pseudomonadota; Gammaproteobacteria; Oceanospirillales; Halomonadaceae.